AUGUUAUUUUUAUUUUUAUGUGGUGUAAUGAUGUUAUUAUUCAUACUUUGUAUGAUACCUUGCUUUACAUUAUUGAUACGCCGGAUAAUAAAUGGUACAUUUUUAAUGACUUCAUUAAGAAAGGAAGGGGAUAUGUCAAUUAUGAUGCUUAAUAAUUGGAUUUCAUCAGUUUGUUCUUGGAGGGUCCAAUUCUUAAGCAUCAUAAUUGACAUAUUCCCUUCCUUUUUUAAUGAAGUUAUUACCAAUGUACUAUUUAUCACCCAGUGUAUUAAUAAUGUAAGACAAGGUAUCAUACAAGGUAUAGACAAUAACAUCUUUACACCACAUAACAAUAAAAAUAACACUCUUUUAACCCAUGGUCCACCAGGCAGCCAUGAAAAUAAAUCCCAUUCCAUAUCCUUCCAGGUUUGUGUUUGCUCGCUCACCUCCCCCCUCUCCUUCUCUGGGAUGGGAGAGAGAAAUGGGAAAGUGAAGCCUGUGAGUUGAGAUAAAAACAAGAAGAUAAUAACAAUAAUAAUAAUAACAAUAAUGAUGAUAAUAGUACUACUAGUAAUAAUGUGUACGAAACAAGUGAUGCACAAUGCAAUUGCUCACCACCUGCUGUCCGAUGCCCAACCUAACCCCGAGCAGUCCGGCCCUCCUCCCAGCCUGCCUGCUAGCAGGACAGUGAGAAGCUGAAUUUGGCUUGGUCCUUGGCUUGGUGUAAGCACUGCUCUGUAACAAUUAAAAACAAUUAAAACAUCAGCAUAUUAUUAACAUUCUUCUCAUCCUAAACCAGAACAUAACAUUCUAUCAGCUACUAGGAAGAAACACCCUUUUUAUCAAUCUUUAAACAGCAAUUACUAAAGCUAAAUUUUCCACAGACUUCUCCUUCUUGUGCUAGUAAAUAAUCCAAAGCUAGGCAAUUUUGAUACAAAGCAGUUCUCAUCUUUAUAACUAUUUCUAUUACAGCUUGUAACCUCAUUAUUCUAUUAAGUAUAUAUACUGGGGUCCUAUAGCCCCAGGAUCUGUCUUCUGCUCACGUAGCUGGAUCAUAAUAGGCAAACGCCUUCAGUCAAGGAGUUAGGCCCGCUUUCAGGGUCAAUUCAGGCUUGUGUUACCGUUCAGCCUGUCAGGGUGAUCCAGCUCCUGGAAAACGAAUCACAGUUUUCUUGGGACAACCUGACCUUAGUGUAGGAGAAGUCCAGUCGAGGCCCUCUCCCUCGGCAGUCAAUACUCAUAGGGGUUGCCUCCCUCGGUAGACCAUACACACCGCAGUGGAGGGUCCUGCCCCGGUCUUGCCUUCUCCCUUUCCUCCCUUCAGGCUUGUCCCCUUUAUUUGGCAUCCUUAAUUCAUGCAGAUUUUAGUAUUUACUUAGCCGUUCAUGAUUUUCGGGAUGAUUAGGGUCUCAGUGGGGUCGGUCAGGGGAAUGCAAUUGUCCACAGUUCCCUGAGCAGUCCCAUCGGUAAUCUGAGCUUGCACAUGAACUCAGGUUGUUUUAAGAGUUAACUGCUUUUCUGUUUCCAUAACAACUCUCUCUCGGACCCAUCAUGUUAGCCCCAAAGGGCUAACACCCCUGAUUUUAAGAUCUCUGCCUAGAGCAGAGGCAGAACUAUUAACAUUCCUACAUCCUCUUUCCCUGCUCAUUCAACUUCAAACACCUUUAACACUUUCAACAACCCUUUUAACACUUCCUUUAUCUUUCUCCAGCCUGUACUUCUCUAAUGCCAACAUCAAAGGCUCAGUCAGGGG
Molecule: long non-coding RNA, 1732 nt
Filed under: Anas zonorhyncha (Eastern spot-billed duck)
Lineage: Eukaryota; Metazoa; Chordata; Aves; Anseriformes; Anatidae
Description: lncRNA (ENSAZOG00000000057.1)
Source: RNAcentral